This 446-nucleotide ribosomal RNA is filed under the name uncultured bacterium. RNAcentral describes it as "partial 16S ribosomal RNA". It matches the Rfam family "Bacterial small subunit ribosomal RNA", at positions 354 to 796 of the family's 1533-position model. The record is from RNAcentral.
GUGGGGAAUAUUGGUCAAUGGGGGCAACCCUGAACCAGCCAUGCCGCGUGAAGGAUGAAGGCGUUAUGCGUUGUAAACUUCUUUUGUAUGGGAAGAAUGACAGGGAUUCAUCCUUGGAGAGACGGUACCAUACGAAUAAGCACCGGCUAACUCCGUGCCAGCAGCCGCGGUAAUACGGAGGGUGCAAGCGUUAUCCGGAAUCACUGGGUUCAAAGGGUACGUAGGUGGUUAAUUAAGUCAGUAGUGAAAGACUGUCGCUCAACUACGGAUGUGCUAUUGAUACUGGUUAACGUGAAUCAGGUUAGAGUUGUCGGAAUGGGUCAUGUAGCGGUGAAAUGCUUAGAUAUGACUUGGAACACCGAUAGCGAAGGCAGCUGACUGAGCCUUGAUUGACGCUGAGGUACGAAAGUGUGGGUAGCGAACAGGAUUAGAAACCCGGGUAGUCC